GAAACAUUUUUAUUUAAUAGAUUGUUAUGUAAAUAGAGAUUUGUACACAUAUAUGAUAACAGGUAUAGAAUUUUAUUUGUGAAUGCUGUUGACUAUACACCUUCAAACAAAUGAUCAAUGAAUCACUUGUACGCCGAGGUGUAAAUAAGUGUAUGAUAUUACGCCGUGGUGUAAAUUAAGUGUAUGAUAUUACGCCGAGGUGUAAAUUAAGUGUAUGAUAUUACGCCGAGGUGUAAAUUAAGUGUAUGAUAUUACGCCGUGGUGUAAAUUAAGUGUAUGAUAUUACGCCGAGGUGUAAAUUAAGUGUAUGAUAUUACGCCGAGGUGUAAAUUAAGUGUAUGAUAUUACGCCGAGGUGUAAAUUAAGUGUAUGAUAUUACGCCGAGGUGUAAAUUAAGUGUAUGGUAUUAUGCAGAGGUGUAAAGUGUAUGAUAUUUUAAUCAUAUUGACAACUCUUUUUCGUGUACACUCCACGAGACUCGCCUAUGCUUUGUUUAAAUCUUCUCACAGAUUUGUGAGUUUAUAUAAGCCUGUCUCGAUUUAACCUACAAUGCCUUAUCUUGUCGGCUUCCUUCAGCUGCUGCUUGAAAAUAUGGCUUUUUCUGUGAAUCACCAUAGAGUUUUCCCGAUCAGCAUCCUCAUUUUGUUACAAAGCAUUUGUUUCUGUUCCAAUCUUGUAAAUUUUCUGUCGCCAUGUAUGGACAUGUGUGCAAGCAUGCAUUGAGUCACUAAGACGUUACAAAUAAAAUCUUGUGUCAGUUGUGAUUUACCCAAGUUAAUACUUUAUAAUCAAGAUUGGUCAUGCUCAAAUUUUUGUAUAUGACAGUAUUUUUAACCAUUUGUUUUGUUUUGUUAAGAAAAUUGUGGAAGAAAGGUUUGAAUAAUUUAUAAGAUAUAAAAGUGUUGUUAACAAGUUUAGCUGGAGAUUAAUAUGUUUAUCAUCAGUGAAUGUGUUAGUUAGUUUCAGUAAGCCGAUUAGACUGUAAAUGUCCAGUUGUCAAACUUGUUACUAGCAUAAUUUCAUCUGAUAUUAUAUUUCAUUCUUUAUCAAUGUCUUUAUAUACAAUUUUUAUAAUAAAAUAAUAAUAAUUAA
This is a long non-coding RNA of Pecten maximus, 1092 nucleotides long. RefSeq lists it as uncharacterized. The transcript has 2 exons. Lineage: Eukaryota; Metazoa; Mollusca; Bivalvia; Pectinida; Pectinidae. The record is from RefSeq and is a predicted model, not a curated record.